This 468-nucleotide ribosomal RNA is filed under the name uncultured bacterium. RNAcentral's name for it is "partial 16S ribosomal RNA". It matches the Rfam family "Bacterial small subunit ribosomal RNA", at positions 28 to 507 of the family's 1533-position model. The record is from RNAcentral.
GACGAACGCUGGCGGCGUGCUUAACACAUGCCAGUCGAACGGAAAGGCCCUGCUUUUGUGGGGUGCUCGAGUGGCGAACGGGUGAGUAACACGUGAGUAACCUGCCCUUGACUUUGGGAUAACUUCAGGAAACUGGGGCUAAUACCGGAUAGGAGCUCCUGCUGCAUGGUGGGGGUUGGAAAGUUUCGGCGGUUGGGGAUGGACUCGCGGCUUAUCAGCUUGUUGGUGGGGUAGUGGCUUACCAAGGCUUUGACGGGUAGCCGGCCUGAGAGGGUGACCGGCCACAUGGGGACUGAGAUAGGGCCCAGACUCCUACGGGAGGCAGCAGUGGGGAAUAUUGCACAAUGGGCGGAAGCCUGAUGCAGCAACGCCGCGUGCGGGAUGACGGCCUUCGGGUUGUAAACCGCUUUCGCCUGUGACGAAGCGUGAGUGACGGUAAUGGGUAAAGAAGCACCGGCUAACUACGUG